RNAcentral lists this ribosomal RNA (253 nucleotides) under uncultured bacterium. Its description in RNAcentral is "partial 16S ribosomal RNA". It matches the Rfam family "Bacterial small subunit ribosomal RNA", at positions 524 to 776 of the family's 1533-position model. The record is from RNAcentral.
GACGAGGGAUCCUAGCGUUGUUCGGAAUCAUUGGGCGUAAAGCGGAUGUAGGUGGCUUUGUAAGUCAGGUGUGAAAGCCCCGAGCUCAACUCAGGAAGUGCAUUUGAUACUGCGAAGCUUGAGUGUGGAAGAGGUAAGUAGAAUACCUGGUGUAGUGGUGAAAUACGUAGAUAUCAGGUGGAAUACCGGAGGCGAAGGCGGCUUACUGGUCCAACACUGACACUGAGAUCCGAAAGCGUGGGGAUCAAACAGG